This is a long non-coding RNA of Rosa chinensis, 537 nucleotides long. RefSeq lists it as uncharacterized. The record is from RefSeq and is a predicted model, not a curated record. NCBI's taxonomy places the organism in Eukaryota, Viridiplantae, Streptophyta, Magnoliopsida, Rosales, Rosaceae. The transcript is spliced from 3 exons.
AUAGGUCCAACCUCGUUUUCCCCAAUAAUUGAUGCGGCAAUUGACAUUGUUGAAAAAAACAAUGGACAAUACCAUGUUCUUGUCAUUAUAGCAGACAGACAGGUUACCAGAAGCCCUGAUACUCUACCUGGAAGAUUCAGUGCCCAAGAACAAGCGACUGUAAAUUCCAUAGUUGCUGCUAGCAAAUAUCCUCUGUCAAUUAUCUUGGUUGGAGUUGGGGACGGACUGUGGGAUGCAAUGCAUCAAUUUGAUGAUAACAUUCCUCAACGAGCAUUUGACAACUUCCAGGUACGUAAUUAAGUGGCACUCAGAGUUAAUUUUUAUUUCCAUUCGAUAGCUUGUAUCCCACGAUAAUGCAGAUCAUCUUUGUCUUGUAUAGGUUGGUUAUAUAAUCAAUAUUUAACAUUUUGGUGGCUUCCUAGUCAUGUGCUGAUUUUAUUGAUAUGACUGAAGAUAAGUUAUGAGUUCUCUCUGUGAGGAAUGAACCAUAUUAGUUUCUUGCCUUUUUGUUGAUGGUGGUGCUCUUUGAAGCAUGGU